GAACGCACAUUGCGCCCCUUGGUAUUCCGAGGGGCAUGCCUGUUCGAGCGUCAUUUCAACCCUCAAGCUCAGCUUGGUGUUGGGGCCUGCCACCUCUGGCAGCCUCUAAAAGCAGUGGCGGCGCCAUCUGGCUCUAAGCGUAGUAACUUACCCGCUAUAGACCCCCGAUGGAUGCUUGCCAGCAACCCCUCAUUUUCUAUGGUUGACCUCGGAUCAGGUAGGGAUACCCGCUGAACUUAAG
This 241-nucleotide unclassified non-coding RNA is filed under the name uncultured fungus. RNAcentral's name for it is "sequence contains 5.8S rRNA gene". The stretch from base 1 to 53 matches the Rfam family "5.8S ribosomal RNA", at positions 102 to 154 of the family's 154-position model. The record is from RNAcentral. Lineage: Eukaryota; Fungi.